GCCCCCGCCCCGCUCCCCCAGCGGGCCCGCGCUCGCCACCUCCUCCAGGCAGGCCGCCGAGCCCCCCGGGGGGCCGCGCGCUGUGCGGACGCGGAGACGCAUCCCGGGAAGACGCGUGAGCUGGAGACCUUCCCGUUUCUUCCUUAUCGGAGACGGGGUUACUUGGAAUGACAGGUUGUCCUUAGUCGUCCUCCUGACUCGGUGGUGACCUCGGGGGACGUUGGUGGAGCGUAGAGCGGGGCCUGCACUGUUUGGGGCCUGACCCAAAUCCAGCGUUGUUUGGCUAACUCCUUAAGGAAAGAAACAAAGAGGAGAAAAAGCUGAACCCAGUCUGCUCCGGGAUGGGUCCUGGACUUUCCGGGACUUUCCCUCCUUGUGACACUAGAGGUCACAGCCGGGGUGGUGAUUUGAAUGAUUCGCAUUCCGUGAGACAGGCCACGCGGGAGCAACAUGACCUAUGAAUGCGCAGGUGCUCGUGCAUCCCCCACCCGAGGUGCUUGUUACUACAACCCCAUUGCCACCCGAGUUUCCUGAGAACACCUGGGGAGCCAGCCUGAGCACACAGUCCUUCCUGCUGCCCUCCCUGGGCUGUAGCAGAAGCCCCAGGAAACCUCUACGGGCCUCGUGGAUUUCUGCUGUAGGCGAUGCCGGGGCCUGCUGGGGGCCAGAAGCACUUCAGAAACCCAGGAAGCGUUUGGUGUGAAUAUGUGGAAGAGGAGCCCCGAUCCGGGGAAGACGGACCCCUACACUAUCCCUAACAGCAUCCCUGUCAGGCAGAUAGCGUCGGGAUUCAGAUAACUGCUUGGAGGUGUUGAGAAAAGCAGCCAGUGGAUCAAGUUAAGGAGCUGCUAUGGAAAUUUUUACAUUCCUGAUAUUUCAUAAUUACAUUCCUGGUACUUCCUGGUACUCAUAAUUACAUUCCUGGUACUUCCCGUCAGUACCUCUAAAGGCUCCACACCCAGCCUGGAGCCCAUUGGCCCAUUGUGGGGUCAAACCCAGGACCCUGAGAUCCAGACAAGAGUCUGAUGCUGGAACAGCUGAGCCCCCCAGGCACCCCUGCUUCUACUUUCUUAGAAGUCUCUCCCUGAGCUGGUGGUAGAGCAUUCCUAUCCACUUCAGGUUUGGUGCUGCCUGAUUCUCAUCACUUUUUGCUCAAAUACACUCUUAAAAUGUUUACUAUGCCUCAUGUAUCUUUUAUCCAGCAUGAUGGGAUAUUACAUGUUUUAUCCAUCUGAAAUGUAGAACUAUUAUGUCUGUCUCCUUUACUACCCCUUGCAUUUUGGUGCUUUCUGGAUUUCAACGAACUCACAACAGCUCUAUUUAGCUCUGAUUUUCAGUGUUUUUUUUUUUUUUUUUUUAAGAUUUUAUUUAUUUACUCAUGAGAGACACAGAGAGGCAGAGACACAGGCAGAGGGAGAAGCAGGCUCCCUGUGUGGAGCCCAAUGCGAGACCAGAUCCCAGGACCCCGGGAUCACGACCUGAGCCAAAAGCAGACUCUCAGCCCAACCGUUGAGCCAUCCAGGUGUCCCUGAUUUUCAGUUUGAUCCUUCUCAGCUCCUGUACCUUGUUGCUCUCUACUUGUCUGCACAAAGCCAGCACGUUGUGAGGAUGUUGUCCUCUUGGACACUUAGUCUAAAUCACUAGAAACUUAUUCUAACAUGUUUAUUUGAAAUCCGGCCCUUCCCAGCUUAAUUACAAUUUCAUUGAGUACAAACUUACUACAAAUAAAACUUACCUGCCCACAGGAAAGCUCAGUCUAGUUCCAGACUAAUGCUGUGUAAGUAGUGAAAUGCAGUUACAUAUAAUAUUUUAUUUAAAAUACUGUGUGUGGGGCACCUGGGUUGCUCAGUGGUUGAGUGUCUGCCUUUGGCUCAGGUUGUGAUCCCAGAAUCCUGGGAUUGAGUCUUGCAUCAGGCCUGCUUCUCCCUCUGCCUGUGUCUCUGCCUCUCUCUCUCUGUGUCUCUCAUGAAUAAAUAAAUCAAUCUUAAAAAUAAAAUAAUAAAAUACUGUGUGUGGAUAUUGAAAAGCCAAAUAUUGGACAGUAUUUGAAGUCAUCUUACAUGGUGAGAAGCUCCAAAAAGGCAGAAAGCUGGGGCCUUACUUUUUAUUCCAAAUGACCUUUGUUAUGAAUACCUUUUGCUCUGUGUAAUCUGAUAUGAGACUAUUUUGCGACCAGUUAUUUUGAAUAGGAUUUGAUAAUUUUGGAUAAAUAUAAAGCUAUUGGUCUGAAACUACCACUUUUGUUAUUAUUAAUCAUUAAUUUCUAAAGUGUCAAAACAAAAGGAAAAGCAUUUUAAAUAUCAGCACUGAAAAGCACAUGCUCAAAGAAUAAAAAUCCUUAAACUAA
Long non-coding RNA from Canis lupus familiaris (dog), 2347 nucleotides. RefSeq lists it as uncharacterized. The transcript is spliced from 3 exons. The record is from RefSeq and is a predicted model, not a curated record. Lineage: Eukaryota; Metazoa; Chordata; Mammalia; Carnivora; Canidae.